This is a long non-coding RNA of Peromyscus eremicus (cactus mouse), 2748 nucleotides long. RefSeq lists it as uncharacterized. The transcript is spliced from 2 exons. Lineage: Eukaryota; Metazoa; Chordata; Mammalia; Rodentia; Cricetidae. The record is from RefSeq and is a predicted model, not a curated record.
UUCUCCUACUCCAACAGCACAGUUACAUUGGAUUCUUUCUAAUGAGUUGGGCAGUAUAAGGAAACGCCUGGAUACAUGGAGAUUUAUUUUCCAUACAGUAUUGGGCUGCAGGGGGAAGGUCAUAAUUGGAAAGACUCGCCAUAAAACUACUGCCACAGAACACAGAGACGGGGACCCAGCCCCACAGCAGCUCCCGCCCACGGUCCCACAUAAAGGCAAAAGCUUCCUCCAGGACCCUAUGGCUGUCACCAUAAUGUGAGGGAAUCUGGCAUAGCGUGGGCUGAGCUGUAGACAGGAAACCUGGUCUCAGUGCAACUGAGUCCGGCUCACUGAGUCUCAGUGCAACGGGAGUCCCAUCCUCCAGAGAGCAGAGGGACUGAGGGCUCCCGCGAGUUCCAGUGUGCCAGCAGUGUCGGGGAGAACCGCCCACCUCGCAGACCCGCCUCACGCUCACCAUGUCUCCGCCGGGGGCCUCCUGCGGCCUCACGGCUCCUGGGGUAGAAGCUCUCCUUGCUACCGAGGCUGAGACCCACAAGACUUCCUCAGCUGACAGGACCUCUGCGCUACUAUGGCCGCGCCAGAAAGAAAGAUGGCGGGUAAAGAACUUCCGCCCCGCCCACCAGCACUCAUGAACUGACAGUUCCCACAAACUUAGGGACAUCUUAUACCUGCUUUCUAGGUUUCUAGCUGGCCUGAGGCCUGCUUCUGGUUGACCAUUAGAACUAAAUGGUAGGACUCUAAUGCUGACGACAACACACCAUUUGGUUGCAAAAACCAACCAACCAACCAACCAACCAACCAACCAAACCCCAGAAAAAAAUCAAGCCAGAACUUAGCAGCUGAGAGCAAAGUGUCCUAGCCAGUUGUGAAUCCCGUAAUUUACAACAUCGACUGGUCAGUCAAGAUGUGUCCUUGGUGUAAGAGUGGAAUGGAAGAUUAGUGAUGCUGUCAGAGAAGAUUACUGCUGGCCAGACAAGCUUCUGUUUGCAGUGGGUGAUGUUUAAUACAGACACUUCUAAGUGGUCUACAUACUGAGAAUAAGUGACUCUUGAAUGCUCACCCCUUAACAGGAUGUCUGUGUCACCCAUCCAAGGCUUGGAGAGCAUCACGAAAGGAUAGAAAGAAUACAAGUAUUGGAGGAUGGGAAGUAAUAUUGUGAAUACUGUCUUCUGGACAUGAUACAGCUUUUGAGCUCAUGAACUCACAGCAGUGUAGUUAUCUGCACAAGACUUGCAGAAAAUGGGGCCUCUCAACAUUCCAGAAUUAGGCCCCACCCUUCUAGAGGAACUAUGAGGAAUUAAUGGCUUGCUGGGGAAGAAAGAGUCAUCGUCUUCUGAGACAUUGCCCAUGCUUCAGAAAAUAACUCUCACCCAUGUACAUUCAAGUAACCAUAAUUAAGGUCAUAAGGUCACAAACAAACACAAAAAAUAAAACAAAGUUGGAGUGGAACUUGCUGAAACCAGGGUUCAGCAAAAGUGGGAUGGGGAUGACCUAAUGGUGGGUGAAAAAGAUUAAAAUAUACAAAAAUGAAUUUGUAAAAAAUAUAAAUAAGAAAAAAAGAAAAUAAAGAAAUAGUAGUGGCCAGCAUCUGAAGGAGAUAUGUCCUAAGACCUGUAGUGGAACAUGAAAACAGUGGCUAGUAGUUAGCCUAAUAUAUGUUUUUUUCUACUUAUACAUACAAGAAACUUUAAUUUGCUAACUAGGCACAAGAAGAGAUUUACAACAAUAUAUAAUAGGGAAACAGAACUAUAGCAGUUUCUUUCUGUUUCAAUAUGUCACAGUACAGUGCAUUCAUCUUUCUUCUUGGGCUGAUAUGAUGUCACAUAGCUGCUAUAUAAUGAGAUUAUAUGAGGCGAAUGUUGGACUAGCAUUACUGUAUACUUCAUGACAUUACUCAGAACUACCCACAACUUAAAAGUUAUUAAUAUUUACCUCUAGAAAUUUUCAUUUAAUGUUUUCAGAUACCAGUUGGACUGAAACUGCAGAAUCUAUAUUGCAAGCAAGGAAAUAUUAAAAGAAAGUUAGCUGAACUUGCUGGCCAUACUGGGACAGUUUGACCAGAAGAUACUGGCCAUGCUCGAAGCCCACAAAACUUGGAUAGACUUGUUGGAAACCCUUUGGGAGGUGAAGCAAAUGCUUUAGUUGUCAUGCAUUGAGCAAAUAUCCUUGUGUCUGCCACAGAACUGUGUUGCAUGGCUGCAUGCUGGUGGCUCUACAUCUCUGGGUUAUCAGUGGUGAUCAUUCUUCCACGGACCACCCAUGCACUGUACUGUUGAAGACUGCAACAGCUUCAACUCUACAAGUUGCCUGGGCCUUAGGAAUGGGAGUCUCUCUGAUAGCUCUGCUCCUACCAUACAAUUUUGCCUUGGCCUUAGGAACGCUGGAGAGAUUUCUUGGAAUAUACAUGGAGAAGUCUACCCUUUUCUCCAGCUUCUACACUGUGGAGACCUGGAGUAUUAGAAACAUAUAGUUUGAGAGUUGUUUGUGAUUUCUCAUCAGUAGACAGAAGGUAAGCACUGACUCAAGUACAGCAGGAAGAAACAGACUUAUGGUUGCCUUAGUCUCAAGGUUAGCUGGUAUCGUUAACCCCUGCCCCCCAUAUUAAAUUUUUCUGCAUCAAGGGCAUGACAUCCCUAUAAUCUCAGCACUCAGAAGGCUGAAGCAGUACUACUUUUUUGUGGCCCGCCUGGGUUAUAUGAGAUACUGCCGUAAAAUAAAACAAACAAACAAACAAACAAACAAAAACAC